UACGAAGGGGGCUAGCGUUGUUCGGAAUUACUGGGCGUAAAGGGCGCGUAGGCGGUGGUUCAAGUCAGGCGUGAAAGCCCCGGGCUCAACCCGGGAACGGCGCUUGAGACUGGACCGCUUGAGUUCGGGAGAGGAUGGUGGAAUUCCCAGUGUAGAGGUGAAAUUCGUAGAUAUUGGGAAGAACACCGAUGGCGAAGGCAGCCAUCUGGACCGACACUGACGCUGAGGCGCGAAAGCGUGGGGAGCAAAC
This 250-nucleotide ribosomal RNA is filed under the name uncultured bacterium. RNAcentral describes it as "partial 16S ribosomal RNA". It matches the Rfam family "Bacterial small subunit ribosomal RNA", at positions 524 to 773 of the family's 1533-position model. The record is from RNAcentral.